RNAcentral lists this ribosomal RNA (163 nucleotides) under Lespedeza cyrtobotrya. Its description in RNAcentral is "5.8S ribosomal RNA". It matches the Rfam family "5.8S ribosomal RNA". Rfam says of the family: 5.8S ribosomal RNA (5.8S rRNA) is a component of the large subunit of the eukaryotic ribosome. It is transcribed by RNA polymerase I as part of the 45S precursor that also contains 18S and 28S rRNA. Functionally, it is thought that 5.8S rRNA may be involved in ribosome translocation. The record is from RNAcentral. Lineage: Eukaryota; Viridiplantae; Streptophyta; Magnoliopsida; Fabales; Fabaceae.
GAACGACUCUCGGCAACGGAUAUCUCGGCUCUUGCAUCGAUGAAGAACGUAGCAAAAUGCGAUACUUGGUGUGAAUUGCAGAAUCCCGUGAACCAUCGAGUCUUUGAACGCAAGUUGCGCCCGAAGCCAUUAGGCCGAGGGCACGCCUGCCUGGGUGUCACAC